UACAGAGGGGGCAAGCGUUGUUCGGAAUUACUGGGCGUAAAGGGCGCGUAGGUGGCCUUCUAAGUUGAACGUGAAAUCCCUGGGCUCAACCCAGGAACUGCGUCCAAGACUGGGAGGCUUGAAUCCGGGAGAGGGAUGCGGAAUUCCAGGUGUAGCGGUGAAAUGCGUAGAUAUCAGGAGGAACACCGAUGGCGAAGGCAGGUCUCUGGGCUGACACUGACGCUCAUGCACGAAAGCGUGGGGAGCAAACAGG
RNAcentral lists this ribosomal RNA (253 nucleotides) under uncultured bacterium. RNAcentral describes it as "partial 16S ribosomal RNA". It matches the Rfam family "Bacterial small subunit ribosomal RNA", at positions 524 to 776 of the family's 1533-position model. The record is from RNAcentral.